GAUGAACGCUGGCGGCGUGCCUAAUACAUGCAAGUCGAGCGAACGGACGAGAAGCUUGCUUCUCUGAUGUUAGCGGCGGACGGGUGAGUAACACGUGGAUAACCUACCUAUAAGACUGGGAUAACUUCGGGAAACCGGAGCUAAUACCGGAUAAUAUUUUGAACCGCAUGGUUCAAAAGUGAAAGACGGUCUUGCUGUCACUUAUAGAUGGAUCCGCGCUGCAUUAGCUAGUUGGUAAGGUAACGGCUUACCAAGGCAACGAUGCAUAGCCGACCUGAGAGGGUGAUCGGCCACACUGGAACUGAGACACGGGCCAGACUCCUACGGGAGGCAGCAGUAGGGAAUCUGCCGCAAGGGGCGAAAGCCUGACGGAGCAACGCCGCGUGAGUGAUGAAGGUCUUCGGAUCGUAAAACUCUGUUAUUAGGGAAGAACAUAUGUGUAAGUAACUGUGCACAUCUUGACGGUACCUAAUCAGAAAGCCACGGCUAACUACGUG
Molecule: ribosomal RNA, 497 nt
Filed under: uncultured bacterium
Lineage: Bacteria
Description: partial 16S ribosomal RNA
Rfam family: Bacterial small subunit ribosomal RNA
Source: RNAcentral